RNAcentral lists this ribosomal RNA (520 nucleotides) under uncultured Glomus. RNAcentral describes it as "SSU rRNA". It matches the Rfam family "Eukaryotic small subunit ribosomal RNA", at positions 569 to 1092 of the family's 1831-position model. Lineage: Eukaryota; Fungi; Glomeromycota; Glomeromycetes; Glomerales; Glomeraceae. The record is from RNAcentral.
AGCAGCCGCGGUAAUUCCAGCUCCAAUAGCGUAUAUUAAAGUUGUUGCAGUUAAAAAGCUCGUAGUUGAAUUUCGGGAUCAAUUUAUUGGUCGUGCUAUUGUACGUACUGGUAUUAUUGAUUCCUACCUUCUGACGAACCAUGAUGUCAUUAAUUUGGUGUCAUGGGGAAUCAGGACUGUUACUUUGAAAAAUUAGAGUGUUUAAAGCAGGCUCACGCUUGAAUACAUUAGCAUGGAAUAACGAAAUAGGACGUUUGAUUCUAUUUUGUUGGUUUCUAGGAUCGACGUAAUGAUUAAUAGGGAUAGUUGGGGGCAUUAGUAUUCAAUUGUCAGAGGUGAAAUUCUUGGAUUUAUUGAAGACUAACUACUGCGAAAGCAUUUGCCAAGGAUGUUUUCAUUAAUCAAGAACGAAAGUUAGGGGAUCGAAGACGAUCAGAUACCGUCGUAGUCUUAACCAUAAACUAUGCCGACUAGGGAUCGGAUGAUGUUAAUUUUUUAAUGACUCAUUCGGCGCCUUAAC